This is a non-coding RNA of Oryzias latipes (Japanese medaka), 717 nucleotides long. The record is from the annotation of a RefSeq genome assembly. NCBI's taxonomy places the organism in Eukaryota, Metazoa, Chordata, Actinopteri, Beloniformes, Adrianichthyidae.
UGAACAGAUGUAGAUUUUAUUCAUCAGUGAAUAGACUCCUCCCUCCCUGUGAGUCUGUCUCCAUCAUUUCCAGCUCUGGUCUCGUUCAGCAAACAGCUGAUUGUUUGUCACUCAUCCUUUUAGAGUCAGAUUCAAACGUGUCUUUUCUGAAAUGAUCUGCCGGCUCAUUUUCUUUAGCCUGCUGGGUUUUUGCCUGAACGUUGAGGUUCAUCAAAGUUCAUCUGAAAUCACAGACGCAAAGAAAAAAGUGCAGAUUUUCUGCAGCUACGACAAGAGUGACUUCAGGGUGAUGCUCUGGUACCGGCAGACGCCCGGACGCACAGACAUGGACCUCAUCGGGUAUUUGAACUACAAGGAACAGAAAAUGGAAGAAAAGUAUGAGAAGACUUUCACCAUCGCUGGAGAUCUGAGUGUGAACACGCUCAAAACCGGAUCUCUGAGCAUCACGGCUGCAGAAACGGGAAACUCUGCCGUUUACUUCUGCGCAGCGAGCAGAGCACGGCGAUGAAAAGAACCUCUGCUGGUGACAAAAACUGUUUAACAUCUCAGGGACUUUGGUCUUCAAGCAGCUGCUUCUGUGGUUGACCUCAGAUUUAAUCGAUGUGCAUCAGAAUCAACUCGUGCUCCUUCUCUCAGCCUCACUUUUCUUUUUCCUUUUAAUGGUGGAAAACAAAAUUCCUAAAACAUAGAAAUAAUUUGAAAAAGGUCAUGCAAAAG